This 253-nucleotide ribosomal RNA is filed under the name uncultured bacterium. RNAcentral's name for it is "partial 16S ribosomal RNA". It matches the Rfam family "Bacterial small subunit ribosomal RNA", at positions 524 to 776 of the family's 1533-position model. The record is from RNAcentral.
UACGUAGGGGGCUAGCGUUGUCCGGAAUCAUUGGGCGUAAAGAGCGUGUAGGCGGUCCGGUAAGUCCGCUGUGAAAGUCGGGGGCUCAACCCUCGAAUGCCGGUGGAUACUGUCGGGCUAGAGUGCGGAAGAGGCGAGUGGAAUUCCUGGUGUAGCGGUGAAAUGCGCAGAUAUCAGGAAGAACACCCGUGGCGAAGGCGGUUCUCUGGGACGGUACUGACGCUGAGACGCGAAAGCGUGGGGAGCGAACAGG